This 5991-nucleotide long non-coding RNA is filed under the name Salmo salar (Atlantic salmon). RNAcentral's name for it is "lncRNA (ENSSSAG00000090742.1)". The record is from RNAcentral. Lineage: Eukaryota; Metazoa; Chordata; Actinopteri; Salmoniformes; Salmonidae.
AUAAACCACUGCUUGAAAAUGACUACUUUUUGCAACUCCGUAUUCCAUGACGCGGCAGGAUCAAUUUCUCGAACAAAGCACAAUUGCACAAGUUUCCUACAACACUGGAAAAACUCCAGCAACAUCAACAGAUUCAAAUAAAAACACAAAUUUACAAGCUUGCAUAUUUAUUGCACAACUUUUAAAAUUGCCAAAAAAAAGUACAUGGGAUACUGUAAGUUAAGUGCAUCGUUGUAAUAAUUUUGCAAAGCUGGCAUAUCGUGUUUUUUUUCCAACCAUAUACAGUGGUAAUUACUGAAUACCUGACUCAACACACUACAGCACAUCCUGUAUAUGCUAUUCACUUUGCUAUGUACAAAACAGCUUUCAUAUUAACUAGUCUGAAAGGAAAGAACUGCAAGAGGAAAAAUGUGUAACAAAUCAACUCAAUGAGGAAGAGAACAAGCGAUCAAUAACACUAGAACAUGCUGGUACAAAAAGGUCCCCAGAAUCGAGGGAGAAUGGAAGACAAAAGAAUAAUAACAUGGGCUUUCAAGUUGGUUAUUAUCAUAUUAAUAUUAGAAUCUUUAACAAAAUAAAUUAACAGGGAAGCAAAGACAAAACUGCAAAUACUGACAUUACUUUGAUAUUUUAAAUCUAUAGCUACAAACAAUAAAAAGCUUUUUGGUUUUAGUUCGUCUGUUUUAUAACAAAGUAAGCUUCUCAUCAACAUUAAUUUACAAAAUCAUUAAAAAAAUACAUAAAUUAAAAAGAUUGUUCUAUUCUAACUUUAUGCUACAUUUGGAAAAAUGUAUUUAAAUUUUUUUGAAACAAGAUUAUAUGCAUCAUGUGAUUCCAGUCUCACGUUAACUAACAUUAAGUCACAUGACUCUCUAUAGGAUUAAGUCAUAUCCAGCUGGUGAAGAAGAUGAGGAAAAGUUGAAACCCUGAACCCAAACCCAAACAGGCUGGGCCUUAAAACACAUGGAGUGUGUUCAUUCCUUUUAGCAUUUAACUCUAUCAAGUUCUCUCAAGUGCCAUUUUUGAAAAGCAUGACUUUUCAAAAAAUAACCUUCAUUUUACGUUUUACUGUUUACUUAUUCUAAUCAACUUGAAGCAGAUAUCAGACAUUAACAUUGCGUUAUGCUGUGGCGACUUCUAUAUGUUUCCAUGUGACAAAUUCAUAACUCACUCGUAAGUGUGCAAAAUCUCUUAAGAGAUCUCCGUUACACACAAACAUGCUAGGGGCAGAACUGCACUCCUGGUUUCGAGAUUGUCUGUCAAUCAAAACACACCAACUAAAAAAAGCUUAACAUUUUCUAAAAGUGACCAGUGCUGGGUACUACUAGAUACAUUGUAUACCUUUGAAUGCACGUGUCAGUAUUAAAGGGUAACUAGUGUUUUUAACAAUUGCAGUUUUGUGAUUGCUCCCAUCAACAUGGUAUAUCCUCAAAUCUUCUCACAUGAAUCCUCUUUUCCUUUAGUAAAACAUUGACCAUGAUAAAAGUUUAUAUUUCCUCAAAUCUUAAAUCCAAUGAGAAAGCCGCACAGAAAACAGAGAAAAACUAAGCCAAUCCAGACCAAGUUACAACAACCAUGACAACAAAGAACCAACACCUUCUUUACUCAGAAUGUGAAAGUAAAACAAGAAAACCCAUCUCAGCUACCUUUCCAAGGAGCAGAUUAAAGUCCAAAAUAGCACCAAUCAUCAGUGUCUCAGUUCCGUGGCAGCAUCUCACUCACUUACCACAAGGGAACAAUGCAUUUCUACUAUAGCUACUUCUAUAGGCUACAUCACAGCAUACAUAACUGUCUACACAUGGUUUUAUACUAGCAACAAACAUUCUAAAACUUUAAAAAAGCAAAUCUACUUAAAACCAUAAACGUUUAAAAUACAAAAACACACUACCAAGCAUUUACUAGCUAACAUGGAAAAAGGGGGACUCUUAGCCUCAGUAAAUACUGUAGAGUGUGUAAAUAUUAAGAGUUUUGAGAAUGAGAGAAGAAUUUGAGAGCUGAAGGGUGUGAAUCACCUUAAAGAGCAGAGCAAUUAGGACUGUUAAAACGUAAAAUCGUGAACCCAACGUUUGAAUGGUUACGCUUCGAGGUGCAACCACUCCCUUCCAAGACAUUGAAGAGUGUUUUGUAGAGAUAAUGAUACAGGUCUAGGCCUAGCUUAAUACUGUGUUAAGGAGCGAUCACAUACUGCAGUUGAGCGUGUGAACAGUGCAGGUAGAACUGAGUGAGUGUUAAAACAUAAAUAGGAGGAUAAUGCUGCUGUUUGAACUGUGUUUUGUUCUGUGGCAGAGUGGAUGACAUGCUGCUGCCUGUCAGUUACUGUACUCAGCCCACAAGGGGCCACCUGUAGAAUUCGUAAACGUAGACGUGGGUCUCUGCUAGCCUGGUCUCUGCUGUUGGAGACUGUGCUAUUACAUUGCUUUGUGUCAUUAGGCUUUUCCUCUCCUUCCUGAAAACAAACAUAUCAUCAAGGCUUAGAGUCCCUAACAAGCUACUGUACAUCUAUCUAAUGUGUUAAUAAAUCACAAAAAUAGACAGAGAAGGUAUGAAACUUCAGAGUCAUCAUGAUGUCAUCUAUACCCCCCCACACUCCCCUUUCCCUUCCCCCCCCCAAAAAUGUUAGAUAUGAUUACAAAAAUCAGAAAUUAAAAUAGAUUUUUUUUCUCCCAUUUGUUCUUUAUGAUGACAGUGUUUUGUUUCUCCCAGGAAGGAGCGAAGGGAAGGACUGGUGACUUGUUUUGUUAAUGCUCCCCUUUGGUCCAACCGGGAGUGACCUGCAGUCUUUUCUGUGAAAGAAAGGAAAAAGUUCAUUCAAAAUUUUAGACAUGAUAAUAUAAUCGACACAACGACUGCUCGUGUGGAUACUCUAGGUUGAGACUUGCCAAAAGACUUUCCAAUUACAUCAUACUGAGGAAGCUUCUGUAAAUUCAGCUAUAUGUAGAGAUUUUGGGUCUUACAACAUAAUACUAGGAAACCUUUUUAACCACAAUUUAGCCUAGGCUAGAGCAGGUUUCUCAGGAUGUGUAUCAGCUGUUAGAACGAGAUAAUGACACCUUUACAGUCCAUUAAAUAAUACAGUAGCACUGCACUGUCAUUCAUUAAUGGACUUGGCUGUUCUUACCUCAGGGGAGCCAUCAUAGCCUGUUAAUUUCAGUCUGAGGGUUAAACUAGUACCUAAAACCAAGAGAGACAAGCAUGAAAUAUAACUGUUUGAUUCAUGAACAGUGAGUCAGUGAUCCCUAGUUGCAAUUCAUUACCCUAAAACUCACAACGAGACAAGCCCAUACAAAAAACAGAAAAGACAAUAAGGGAUCUGAGAAAACACAUUUACUGUUGCUUAAGCUAGCAUCAUAUUAUAAAGUAGACUAUAACUGUUAGGGCUACUCCUGGGCAAUCCAUGUUCUGAAUCCAAAUGGUCAAAACAGACUCAAGGGGAUCUUUAUGAUGAAACAGUUCGACUCAGCUCUUGCAAUAUUGAACUAGAAUGCAGGAUGUCACACAAACAUUGGAAAAUCAUUUUCUAGGUCGGAGAAAAAUGUAACGUAAAAACAACCGAACUAGCCCUUCCUAGAAUUUUCACAUAACUUGAACUCAAUACUCCUGGAGAGAAUCUGCCCUCCUAACUCCUUCCUUCUUUACCGCAACUUAGUAGUUUAACAUGACUUAGUAGUUUAACAUGACUUAGUAGUUUAACAUGACUUAGUAGUUUAAAUGUACAUGUUAUAUUUACAGUACAGUAGAGGCAGUUAUAUUUACAGUACAGUAAAGUAGAGGCAGUAGGGAAGGCCACCUGUUUAAAACAUAGACUGUCCUUUCCACUUCCCAGACUGCAGUUGGAGCGCUUCCAGGCAACACCAGUCAAACGAGGUCACAUUUUUCCCCCAGCGGCAGUCCACUGCAUUGAGGCUGUCUCGAACUCACUGAACCCACAGGCAGCCUUGAGCUAGCAUAGACAGUGCUGCUGCGUCGGAGCCAGGGACUUAUAUAACUGGUCAGAGGCCUGCUCAAUGCUGAGCAGUAGUGAUGAUACUGUACCAGCUAAAGCUGUGAUUGGGUCAUAAAUACCGGUAUAUCACUCUGAUUGGACAAGGGAAGGCAUGCUUGUAUCAUUACAGCAUCUGAUUGGUGCUGGUUUAGUGUGAUGUUCUGAUUUGGUUAUAGGUUCCUUCCACCAUUGGUUAGUUUAGGAUAUGAUACUUACCAUGGAUCAUAAUACUUGCCAUGGAUUGUUUAAAAUGCAGAUUAUAUUGCCAAUAGCAAUACUGUUCCCCUAUAGUCUUGAAUACACAGACAAUACAUAUUGAGCAAAUUAUGAUAAAACAAUAUAAUAACACGUCAAAGCAAUAGCCUAGAGCUACAUUUGACAAUAUGUUGAUUUUAAUAAUCCUAUCUAUGGUUAGGUUGAGAUAUGUUAAUUGUAACAGGCCAACAUCAAAUUUUACCUUGAUUAUCUGCAAGAGCCGCAUUUCUACUGCAUAGUCAGUCUGGCAUCAGGGCAAGUGUGGGACUGCGAAAUAAAAUAAAAAAUAUAUACAUAUACACACACAAAUGUUUUAUCAUAAGUGCACUACAGACAUAAUUGAAGAAGAAUCAAGCACUCAGUGACAGUCAGUAUAUAUUAAAUAAACGGCAUCGCAAUGCACUAUAAUGCGCCAUGCAGUAAGAGCGUAUUAUCAAAUGCAUGUGUGCAGAAGGCAGACAAAAAAAAUGACUUCAUCUUUUUGACUAAAAAAAGAUGUAGCUAGUAAAAACGGCAAGCAGCCUUGGGGGGGAGAGAACCCCAUACACGGCUGCAACUGCCACCGUCUAAAUACAGAUUCACGCAAUCCCUGAAUGAGCACCUGCCGGUACUUCACAAAUGUAUCAUUGAACAGCAAUACACCUCGCUACAUUGUGAUUGUUACAGUUAAUAUCGUAAUGUGUCAAGUAAUAUAAUAUUACAACUAUAGCUAGCUACUAAAUUAAAAUACCAAUGCUGCUGCAUAAACUUGCUGGUCUGCAAGCAAUAAUUUAGCGUUUGCGUCAAGCAAAUUGUACUUGCCGUCUUGCUAGCCUCUCAAACAAAGGGGUUUGCAUUCAGUCUUCGCCAGAAACUGCUAGCUAGGGUUGGCUCGCGCUGUAUGACAGUGCAACACCAAAAUGCCAUGCCAGCUUGGCAGCUCGCUAGUUAGUGAGCUAGCUAGCUAACCCAUAUAACUAGCUAGCUAACGUAGUUAGACCGGCAAAAAUAAAACACACAAUUAUGUUGCUACUGGCUAGCCAGCUAACUAGAUUCAAUAAGUAACAUCGAACAGCUCAUUGUAAUUAAAUGUACUUACAGAUUGAAGCCCCGUUAUACUAAAGUCAUUUCCAUUAGUUCGCUAGCCAGCUAGCGGUGGGGCGGCUAGCUGGCGCUGAUGAAGUUUCAAUUUUACUGGCACAAUGUUGCAUACGUGUAGUUAGUAAAAACGGCAAGCACCCUUGCGGGGACAGAACCCCAUACACGGCUGCGUUGACCCAACUGCCACCGUCUUUAACUAACUAGCUAGCUGUUGGCUCGGGGCCAGGCCCCCCAUUACAUCUGCAGUAGUGUACAGUCAGACUGCUCGGUGCUUACUCGGCAGUCUGCGGUAACUCAAGGUCCCCCUCUGUCUGGGAGAGACAGCUUCUCCAAUCAGAGCGAAGGCCGGUGGAGCCAACCUCUAAACAUUGAGGGGAUUCGAUGAAUCUUGCCCGGGCGCCAUUGUAAGCGUGUUUUGCACCGGCUGAAAGUUGACUCUAUUGAGUUCGAAACCAGGUUGCUUGCAGGGCGCGAACUUGGUGCCACACUCUGUCUGAUGGAGAAAUCGGCUCAUAAACAAACGUGACGUAAUUAAGCACGUGUAGUAAUGAGCAGGAUUCGGUGUUUUCACAUGCAAAAGUGCCUUCCCAAUGAAAACUAUUUAAAAAAUCCAAACAUAAAUUCAAUGGAAAAUAGCUAUUGUAUGUUUCUGGACGAUGUACCAUGUUGACAAC